GAUGAACGCUAGCUACAGGCUUAACACAUGCAAGUCGAGGGGCAGCACUAGGUAGCAAUACUGAGGUGGCGACCGGCGCACGGGUGCGUAACGCGUAUCCAACCUUCCCGAUACUCUUGGAUAGCCUUCCGAAAGGGAGAUUAAUACAAGAUGGUGUUUCACUUUUCGCAUGUUAUUGAAACUAAAGAUUUAUCGGUAUCGGAUGGGGAUGCGUGACAUUAGAUAGUAGGCGGGUAACGGCCCACCUAGUCUACGAUGUCUAGGGGUUCUGAGAGGAAGGUCCCCCACACUGGAACUGAGACACGGUCCAGACUCCUAGGGAGGCAGCAGUGAGGAAUAUU
Molecule: ribosomal RNA, 341 nt
Filed under: uncultured bacterium
Lineage: Bacteria
Description: bacterial SSU rRNA
Rfam family: Bacterial small subunit ribosomal RNA
Source: RNAcentral